GCUCAACUAUCGAACUGCCAUUGAUACUGCAGAUCUAGAAUAUAGAUGAUGUUGGCGGAAUAUGACAUGUAGCGGUGAAAUGCAUAGAUAUGUCAUAGAACACCGAUUGCGAAGGCAGCUGACAAAACUAUUAUUGACGCUGAUGCACGAAAGUGCGGGGAUCAAACAGGAUUAGAUACCCUGGUAGUCCGCACAGUAAACGAUGAUAACUAGUUGUUUGCGAUAUACAGUAAGCGACCAAGCGAAAGCGAUAAGUUAUCCACCUGGGAGUACGCCGGCAACGGUGAAACUCAAAGGAAUUGACGGGGCCCGCACAAGCGGAGGAGCAUGUGGUUUAAUUCGAUGAUACGCGAGGAACCUUACCAGGGCUUGAAAAGUAAGGAAUGAUUAUGAAAGUAGUCAGUCAGCAAUGACCUAAAACUAGGUGCUGCAUGGCUGUCGUCAGCUCGUGCCGUGAGGU
This 460-nucleotide ribosomal RNA is filed under the name uncultured bacterium. RNAcentral describes it as "bacterial SSU rRNA". It matches the Rfam family "Bacterial small subunit ribosomal RNA", at positions 607 to 1073 of the family's 1533-position model. The record is from RNAcentral.